CCAAGUUGCAUGUUUCAAAUGAAGUUCAAUAAAGAACGUCUAACUCAGAUAACAAGAGGCUCUCAGAGAUUCUUUAUCCACCAGCUGUUAACUUUUAUGUUAAAAUUCUGCUUGGAUAUUUGAUUCUUUCCUUUAAUUCGGAAAAGCACUUAAAGCACUUAGGAAAGCACCAGAUUGAUUUUCAACUUGGGAACCCCCUGUCUGCAGAGCAACUCAGAAAGAGUUUCAGUAACAUUAUAUCACCACAGAACUUCGAGUAGAGUUCCCUGUAAAUUAGGAGUUUAUCCUGAAGAAAAGGUGGACAAAAUCAGGAGGGAAGGUGGAUGGAGUUUGAUGGGAGUGACCUGAUUUGACAGGAGGAUUCAAAGGUGUUGGAACAAUGGCAGAAAGCCAUAAAAGAGACCGUGUGAGCAGUAACAUCUCUGUCAGUAAGACGUGGAGACAUGAGCACAAAACCACCUGUGAGGAGAGGAUUGUUGUACCGUGAGCCCAACCCAGGUCGUCCACCUUCUCUUCAUGAGCUCACUGGCAGUUGUAUAGGCUUUUGUGGCCUUGUCGAAAAGGCCCCAGGAAAUAUCACUGUGAGCCUUGCUUGCAGAGCAGCCUUGCCAGUUCACAAAGACCAAAGCACCAGGCCAGGAAGUCAAGACAGAAGAAGUCAACAUAAACCAGCAGGAAACAAAUCCAGGAGGCUGGGUACGGCCCCUUCUCAAAGGCACCCAUGCAACUCUCAGCUGCUCCGGUGGGCUUUCCUCUAUGUGGAUAGAGAGGCCACAGAGUAAAUGUCUGUUGAAUGAAUCCCUUCUCAGCUUAGCACUCACUCAACAAACACUGUUGAUCAUUCCUUCGGUGAACGUUGUUCUCUCAAGGAGAGAAGAGGCAGUCAUACAAAGACAGAGGGACACAGCUCUGCAUUCAGGGAGAAGACAGACUUUUGAGAAAGGCAGACCAACACUUAAAAUUGACGUGCUGUGCCCUACAGUAGCAGACAUAGUGGGUGUUAGGAAGGGGGACAUGGAGAAGAGAUUAACCGAAGUAAUCCUGGGGUAGUUGGAGAAAGGGGCUUCUCAGGUGGCUCAGUGAGCUACCUGCUGACAUAGGAGCUGUGGACUUGAUCCCUGGGUCAUGAAGAUUCCCCUGGAGGGGGAAAUGGCAACCCACUCCAGUGUUCUUACAGGGGAAGCCCCUGGAUAGAGGGGCCUGGGGGAUUGCAAAAGAGUCAGACAUGACUUAGCGAGAGUAAAGCAACAAAGAAGUUGGAGGAAACUUUGGAAAAUCAUCUUAGACGAAAAUCAUUUUUUUAGCUGUUAUGCUCCAAAUGCCUAUGUGUUUGGUUAAAGUCCCCAGGAGGAAGAGUUGGUGAUUUCUUUUCUACCAAGGGUUCUGGCUGUCAUGUUAGAAGGUGCAGGAGCUCUUGACGGCAACUGGUCGUGGGUGACAGCAGGAGACACCCUAGAUAGCCAUGUUCUUAUUUACUAAAGCAAAGCACAUCCUCCCCCAAGAUGGGUUUUCUGGUGUAUGAGGGUAGAAGUGUGCUGCUGUGCUAAGUCACUUCAGUCAUGUCCAACUCUUUGAGACUGUCUGAACUGUAGCCCAGCAGGCUCUUCUGUCCAUGGGAUUCUCCAGGCAAGAAUAUUCGAGUGGGUUGCCAUUUCCUUCUCCAGGGGAUCUUUCUGAUCCAGUGAUUGAACCCAAGUUUCUUAUAUCUCCUACAUUGGCAGGUGGGUUCUUUACCACUAGCACCACCUGGGAACCCCAGGGGUAGAAGCAAGUAAAUGCAAAAACAGCCUUCUUCAUCACCAACAUGGGAAAACCAAGAAGGAACUGGCUUCCUUCAAGGUUUCCUCCACCCCCUAGCUUUUAGAGAGAAAAGCCAAAGCAGAACUCAUUGUAAAGUAAAGCCUUGUUCCUUGAAGUGUGACUGAAGGGCCAGCAGUACAAGCAUCAGUUGUAAUCUUGUUAGAAAUGCAGAAUCUCAGGCCCCAACCCCAGCCUGCUGCC
Bubalus bubalis (water buffalo) is the source of this 2001-nucleotide long non-coding RNA. RefSeq lists it as uncharacterized. NCBI's taxonomy places the organism in Eukaryota, Metazoa, Chordata, Mammalia, Artiodactyla, Bovidae. The record is from RefSeq and is a predicted model, not a curated record. The transcript is spliced from 4 exons.